Acanthosepion pharaonis is the source of this 110-nucleotide non-coding RNA. NCBI's taxonomy places the organism in Eukaryota, Metazoa, Mollusca, Cephalopoda, Sepiida, Sepiidae. The record is from the annotation of a GenBank genome assembly.
CAACCACAUCAUGUUGAAACACCGGUUCCCAUAUGGUCAUCAAAGUUAAGCAACAUUGAGCUUAGUCAGCACCUAGAUGGGUGACCACUUGGGUAUACCAGGUGCUAUAU